UGGACUAACUAGCCGACAUUAAUAUUACCUUCCCUGCAGAGGAUGGUUCACGAGUCCUCACUCAUGGCGAUAACAUAAGCGAUCAAUUAAAGUGCGCAAUUGCAGAUUGCGAGUCUUUUUUUUACUUUGCUAGCCAGAAUAAAACCAUAGACAUUUCUUUUAGUUUUCAACCACUUUCAACGCUUCUGUUUGUAUAUGGUUUGUAUCAUAGACAUAGACUAGUUCAUUGACAUUUGAAUAUUAUUGUCGAGGGGCGCGUCGGAAGGGUGUGGGUUUUGUUUAUUGUUUCAUAUUUAGUAGCGGCGCGAAAUGAGGUAUAAUUUCUAACGUUAAAAUUAAAAAGAAUCGAACUACGCUAUGGGUUGUACUCAAAGUGAAAUAUCUCCCCAAGAGGAAACACCAAGAAAGGGCUGCACCGAUGUUUUGUGGCUCAUUAUUUAUAUUUUGUUUUGGAUUUUAAUGAUAAUUGUGGCUUCAAUAUCUUUUGUGUAUGGAAACCCAUUAAGAGUUAUAAAUGGAUUUGAUUCUUUUGGUAAUACAUGUGGAGUAAAAAGCAAUCACAAACUCACACCGGCCCCAGUGUCUGGCAUAAGCACUGUGGACAAAAAGUUCUUGUUCUUCAUGGAUGUCAAAGAGCUGCAGAGAUCUCUUAAAAUAUGUGUCAAGGAGUGUCCUAACAGAAGGUUGGAUUCUCUGGCUGAUAUACAGAAAUUUUAUAAGGAGACAGGAUCAAAUAUCUGCCGCUAUGACGUGAAUUUGAAUAAGAUAACAAGUGAUGUAGAGCACAGCUACAUUGGUCCGUGUCCGACAUUGCCAGUGUAUGAGACAUUCCCCCUCCUGAAUAGAUGCUUCCCUAAGUCUGCAAAGGAUCUUACUACUAAAGUGUUCACUGACUUCUAUGACUUGCUAAACAGUUGGGACACCAUUGAGCAAAUGCUUUCAGAUCUGUAUUCCUCUUGGAUGGAGAUGAUAAUAUGUGUAAUUAUAGCAUUCAUAUGUUCGCUAAUCAUGGUCUCAAUAUUGCAUUUAGUGGCCAGUUUGGUAUCAUGGAUUUUCAUGAUAUUGGUGUCAAUAGCUAGUGUAGCUGGGACAGCACUUCUGUGGUACACUUACCAUGAAUUGAAGAGUAAACACAAGACAUAUGAAAUUGCAUAUUUAUCUGAGUCCCUGAAGAACGAAACUGCAUUUUUGUGGUAUUCAAUUAUAGCCACUAUUAUUACGGUGAUUUUACUACUGUUGGUGUUUGUGAUGCGAUCCCGCGUGUCGUUCUUGGCAGCUCUUUUCAGGGAAACUGCGCAUUGCCUCGGAUCAAUUCCCGCCCUUUUCUUACAACCUAUUAUCACUUUCUUUUUCCUUAUUCUAUUCUUAGCAUUUUGGUCUAUAGUUGUGGUAUGUUUAGCAACAGCAAACUACCCGGGUAUACCGUUCCAAACAAACUUCCUACUCAAUGGGUCAGGCCCGACGCAGUAUGAGCCCACAGCUAAAACAAAUAUGGCUGCACAAAAUGGCAAUUCCAGUCUCAAAACUUUUACAUUAGAAAACAUAGAGUUUGACCCUAUGUGGGUGAAGAGUAUGUGGUGGAUAUGCCUGGUGUGUUUGAUCUGGGGCAGUGAGUUCAUACUGGGCUGUCAACAGAUGACCAUCGCUGGAGCUGUAUCCCAUUGGUAUUUUAGAGGGCCAAAUGCAAAUUCGUCACCAGUUUUAUAUUCGAUCGGCAAGCUAAUUAAAUACCACUUAGGUUCAGUGGCCAAGGGAUCCUUCCUGAUAACCCUGUUCAAAAUACCUCGCCUUAUCCUGACGUAUCUACAUGCCAAGCUGUCGUCAAGAGCUGAAAAGGGCUCAGAGUGUGCAAAGUGUGGCCUGAAAUGUGGAAUAUGCUGCUUUUACUGUCUUGAGAAGUUCAUCCGUUAUUUGAAUCAUAACGCCUAUACUAUUAUAACGAUUGAGAGAUGCCACUUUUGUAAGGCUGCUGGCAAGGCUUUCAGUACGAUAGUGAACAACGCGCUUCAAGUGGCCACAAUCAAUAGCGUGGGUGACUUUAUACUGUUUCUGGGCAAGUGCAUUGUGACGGCGGUGACGGGCAUCAUCGGCCUUCUACUCUUGAAACGCAACAAAGAACUGCACUUCUUUGCUAUCCCGACACUAGUUAUAUGUAUCUAUUCGUUCUUCAUUGCACACUGUAUACUUUCUCUUUAUGAGAUGGUAGUUGACUCAUUGUUCCUCUGUGUAUGCGAGGAUCGCAAUAUGAACGGUAAUGACGGAAGAUGGAAGAACACUCGAUUAGCUGAACUCGGCGGUCAUAGACAAGCUAAAGGCGACGAACAAGAUGGCGCUGAGUUACAGGACAUGCCAGAAAAGUACUGAAACUCGAAGCCUAUUGAGUUUGGGGCCUAUGCAUGUCUGUUCAGUGCCUUAUAGUGGUUACCGGCUGCGAAUUAUGUAAAAUUGGCAGCUUUAGAGUUAAGAAGAAUUUUACGCUUUUACUCAAAUUCCAUAAUGCAUUUUUAGUGAUUUAUUAUAAUUGAAAUCAAAUUGACAUCUCUUAAAUGUGUCUUUACAAUAUUUUUAACUUAUUAUCUUGCAUAAUAUUUGACGAUGGUGCAUUUUAACAUAAAGGAGUAAUGGAACUCUGUUUUGACAUUAUAAAAACAUUUCUAAGGAGAAUAUUGAUACUUUUAAAAAGUAUUGUGUAUGUUUUGUGGGAUGUUUACAUAACUUUUAGAAAUGUUUAUGAUGUGCAUGCACAACAAAAUAUUUUUUUAGUAUUGCAAACUGUAUUUCUACAGUAGCGCUCCCUAGACAGUCAGUAGAAUUGCGCAAUAUUCGAUAAAAGUAUUGUGCAAUUAAAAUGUUGAUUCCUUAUCUAUGUUGAUACCUAACUUAUUGCGCAAUAAUAUAGUGCGGUCUAGGGACCGCAUAAGAAAAUACUGAUUGAUCUAAAUCUGUAAUCUCAUUGUGUCAUACUAUAUUGACUGCUUGCCACAAGCAACAUUCAUGGUAACUGUGAUUUUUUUGCACUUUUAACUAUGUGAUUGCAUUCCACUUGUUUAUGUACACAAAAUAGACUUUAAUAUUGACACAACAAUAUACUGACCACCACUGAAUCUGUGACUCAAAAUAAUAUUGAAUCUAUUUUAACGAACGAAGGCUAAGUUUAAGUACAAUUAUUAUUUAAACAUAAUUUAUAUGCAUAAUUUUUGCUUUAUACAAUGUAUUAGAUGUUAUUUUUUCAUCAUUUUUUUUUUGUUAAAGAAAUAAGAUUUUUAUAAUUUAAAAAUGAACUGCACAAAAAUAUAUUUUUGCAAUUAGUGCCUAGACAAACAUCAAUCAACUGAGAUAUUUUUGAAGCAUAAUAAUUCUUUUAUAAUAAUUACAAUGCAAAAUCGUAAAGCCUAGUUUUUAAGUAUUAAUUUAUAGGAUUUAUGACCGUCCAUAUAUAAUACCUGCUUUAUAUUUAUAAAUAAAAUGUAACAUGCAUAAUAUUUUUGCUGAAUCUCUGAUUGUUGGUCAACAUGGGCUCAUUAAUAUGUUUUAGUUUUAUGACUAUUUUAAUUUAAAAUACAUCCAUUUUUUAAUGUUCUAUUGAAUAUUUUUAUGUGUAAGUGUAGUGCUUUAUUUUUUAUGCAUUUUUUACUUUUUAAUGAAUUAAUUUAACUAUCAUUUACAUGUUCUAUUGAACAUUUAUACAUUUUACUGUAGUUUAUUUAUGUGAAUUAGUACACUCAUAUGCUAGUAAAAAUAUUGCAAUUGUUAAAAUAUUUACCUCAACCUAGCUCUUCCAAUAGUAUCCAGGGAAUCUAACUCAUCAGAAAAGAAGAAAGGAUAUAUUUAAAUAAUAAUCACUUGUGUGGAAAAAUAAAUUUUAUUAAGAUUUA
Helicoverpa zea (corn earworm) is the source of this 3875-nucleotide RNA transcript. It is a transcript of the gene named choline transporter-like 1, with no coding region annotated. NCBI's taxonomy places the organism in Eukaryota, Metazoa, Arthropoda, Insecta, Lepidoptera, Noctuidae. The transcript is spliced from 12 exons. The record is from RefSeq and is a predicted model, not a curated record.